Molecule: ribosomal RNA, 441 nt
Filed under: uncultured bacterium
Lineage: Bacteria
Description: partial 16S ribosomal RNA
Rfam family: Bacterial small subunit ribosomal RNA
Source: RNAcentral
CCUACGGGUGGCUGCAGUAGGGAAUAUUGAACAAUGGGCGACAGCCUGAUCCAGCAACGCCGCGUGUGCGAUGACGGCCUUCGGGUUGUAAAGCACUUUUAGAGGAGAUGAGAAAGGACAGUAUCCUCUGAAUAAGCCUCGGCGAACUACGUGCCAGCAGCCGCGGUAAAACGUAGGAGGCUAGCGUUAUCCGGAUUUAUUGGGCGUAAAGCGCGUGCAGGCGGUCUAUCAAGUUGGAUGUGAAAGCUCCUGGCUUAACUGGGAGAGGUCGUUCAAAACUGAUAGUCUCGAGAAUGGUAGAGGGAGGUGGAAUUCCGGGUGUAGUGGUGAAAUGCGUAGAUAUCCGGAGGAACACCAGUGGCGAAAGCGGCCUCCUGGGCCAUUUCUGACGCUAAGACGCGAAAGCUAGGGUAGCAAACGGGAUUAGAUACCCGAGUAGUC